UACAUUCAUCAUCAAUCAUUCCUUGCCG
Molecule: small RNA, 28 nt
Filed under: Bombyx mori (domestic silkworm)
Lineage: Eukaryota; Metazoa; Arthropoda; Insecta; Lepidoptera; Bombycidae
Description: ovarian small RNA-5990
Source: RNAcentral